CUUACCAAACCCUCCUCAUGUGCCCCUGAGAGCUCCCUGCAGCACAGCGAGUCUCUUCUUGGACGGCUCAGAGGCACAGAAGAUGUAGCCAGACUUGCCGGCCAAACCCGAGGGUGUGUGUUGAUGCUGGGACCAAGAAGGAGAAGAAGAGGAAGAGGAGGAAGAAGAUGAUAAUGACAACAGAAGAUCAGAAGAAGAAGACGAGGAGGGCACACACACAUACACAUAUGACAAACACCUUUUUAGAUAUUUUUCAUUUUUAUUAGUCCAUACAACAUACAUUAGCUAUAUACAUAUUAUACAACAUAUGCAUAACUAUAUACAUUAGAUCAUAGUGAGUCGAGAGGUG
Eriocheir sinensis (Chinese mitten crab) is the source of this 349-nucleotide long non-coding RNA. RefSeq lists it as uncharacterized. Lineage: Eukaryota; Metazoa; Arthropoda; Malacostraca; Decapoda; Varunidae. The transcript is spliced from 3 exons. The record is from RefSeq and is a predicted model, not a curated record.